UACGGGGGGGGCAAGCGUUGUUCGGAAUUACUGGGCGUAAAGCGCGCGUAGCCGGUUUUGUAAGUCAGAUGUGAAAUCCCUGGGCUCAACCUGGGAACUGCAUUUGAAACUGCAUGGCUAGAGUAUGGAAGAGGGAAGUGGAAUUUCCGGUGUAGCGGUGAAAUGCGUAGAUAUCGGAAGGAACACCAGUGGCGAAAGCGACUUCCUGGUCCAAUACUGACGUUCAUGUGCGAAAGCGUGGGGAGCAAACAGG
This 253-nucleotide ribosomal RNA is filed under the name uncultured bacterium. RNAcentral describes it as "partial 16S ribosomal RNA". It matches the Rfam family "Bacterial small subunit ribosomal RNA", at positions 524 to 776 of the family's 1533-position model. The record is from RNAcentral.